RNAcentral lists this ribosomal RNA (253 nucleotides) under uncultured bacterium. RNAcentral's name for it is "partial 16S ribosomal RNA". It matches the Rfam family "Bacterial small subunit ribosomal RNA", at positions 524 to 776 of the family's 1533-position model. The record is from RNAcentral.
UACGGAGGGUGCAAGCGUUAUCCGGAUUCACUGGGUUUAAAGGGUGCGUAGGCGGGCAUGUAAGUCCGUGGUGAAAUCUCCGAGCUUAACUCGGAAACUGCCAUGGAUACUAUGUGUCUUGAAUGUUGUGGAGGUGAGCGGAAUAUGUCAUGUAGCGGUGAAAUGCUUAGAUAUGACAUAGAACACCCAUUGCGAAGGCAGCUUACUACGGAAUGAUUGACACUGAGGCUCGAAAGCGUGGGGAUCAAACAGG